GGACGUACUAUGGGUGGUAUCAAACAUGUGGCAUUUUCCACUAGACAAAGAGUUUCUGUCUAAACUGGUUCUAGCUGGUAUCAACUGGCGCAUUUCUAUGCCCAAUGUAUUACUACAAAGUUUCCAGUAUGCAGUUCAGCAAGGUUAGCCUACGUGCAGAGACGCAAGAUAUCACUCAAGGACGCAUCUGGCUAUGGAACAGAGUCCCACUGAGGAGAUGAGGAAAUUAUGCAGUCAUGACUGAGGGUCUGUCAUGUUGUGCAUGGUUUUCAACCCAUCUUGUUUCCUUUCCUCCCACAGCUCCCAGAUCAACAGUGCCUUCUGCAUUGGCGUUGGUGAGACACAGCAAGAAGACCUGGAAGCAAGCCCAGCAGAUGCUGUUAUGCCAGGGGUGGUUCUACAAGCCUGCAACAGACCGGGGACGGAAGUGCAGUAUCUAGUGGACUGGGAGAGGUAUUUUCCUGAGGAAUGGUCUUGGAUUCAAUCUAAAUUCGUCGUUGAUCCCGCAAUCAUUAGUGACUUACAAUCUACGCAUCCUGAGGCUCUGAGGCUGUCUGAUGCCGGCUUUUGGGGGUACUGUCAUUGGCGUAGUCAUUUCCUCUCCCUCACACGCACGUGCUCCUGGGAGCAGCCUCCCCACCUGUUCCUCGUCUGUGUUAAUUAUGUCGUGCAUAUAUACCUUGUGCAUUAUGUUGUUCAUUACUAGUUUGUUGUACCUUGUUGUCACGUUUCCGCAGUUCUUGUUCUACUUUUUGACUCAUAGUAAUCUGACCUUCCCUUGAUUUUGACCUUGUUUUAUGCCUCGUGUGUGGAUACUGUUGCCUUUUGGACUGCCUGCCUGUGUAUCAACCUCAUCCUCAAUUAAGCUUUCCACUAUAACUACUGCUUGCCUUGGAGUCAUUGCAUUUGGUUCCUCCUCCUGUUCUGCCCUUGACAAUGACACUACAGUAUUUCAGCAUUUAGGUGUAAAUAUGACAUCAAUAUAACCACUGACACAUGCAAGAAAAGAUAAUAGUACAAGAAUGGUAAUAAAAAUCCUUUGUGUAGAAAUAGUGAACACUACUGUUGUAGAGAAACAUUGUUGUAUAUGCUUAUAUUCUACUUUAUCUAUGUGAGUUUGGUAGCAGCACAAUGUUUCGAUUGGAGGAUGCUCAAUGUGGAGGUCAAAGAAACAGGAGCCAACAGUUGCUUUCACAUAGCGUCAGCUGAUUCAGUAACGUACUGGAAAUGUCUCAAGCUUCAUCUUAAGAUGUCUGAUGGUGGAACAACAGAUGCUUGAACCCUUGACAAAAUGGCUCCAACACAUUAGGAACUUGCACACCUUUUUGUGCACACACAGACAACAUAAACAGAAAAACACACACACAUCUAGCCUACGUGCUCUGAGGCACAUGCUGAGAAAGUUCUGCCUUUAUGGCUUGCGUCUUCAUUGUAUUGUCUCUGGUAUAACUGACACACAAACACACGCACACAUGCGUGGAGACACGCACAAAAGACCUGGGUACUUGGGUAUCAGCGUCAGUCUUAAUGAAUCUGUCUACAGGGGGCAGGACAGGAGCUAUAUCUGACACAAAGAGCUCCCGCUAGCCCACUGAGCCAACCAGAGGCCUCCAGAUUAACUUGCAUUACAUCAGCAUACCAACAAUGAACCUAAUGAGGAAGAGGUCGGGGGUUGGGGGGGGGGGGGUGUUACGUGUGCCUAUGUGAGUGGGUGUGUUGGCUCUCAUACUAUUGCAUCACGAAUUAAAUACUCAUUUGUGUUGAUUCAGUCAAGAUUGGAUGGAUGUGCUUGGUCAUCCUUAAAAACUGGACAUAGUGAUAAUUUUAUAUUUCCAAUGUGCCCUAUGUAAUCGUCUGUCAUCAUAGUAACUAGUCAGAAAAUAACAAAACAAAAAAAAGCAUGCUUGUGAAUUGUUUCAUUCAUCCAAGACAACGUAUUCUCAGAGCAUUGAAUCCAUGGCAGCUGGACUUUUCUGGUUUUAUUAGAAAACGUUUUGCCUCUAAUCUUGGAAGACAGUUUGCCUAAAAUCUGACCAGGAUUCAUCAGUUCAUGCACAAGAGAAGAAUGAGGCACACUUGUAACAACUGAGUAAUAGCUGGAUACGAAAAGUUGUAUGUGUUUUAGUUGAAGGACUUGUUUAGGAUGUUUGUUAAAAAUCAUACUUUUGGCCCAAGUGGCGCCUGGUGAAGUUUUGAUAUGUACUGUAUACAAGUAUAUCACCUGGACCUAACUGUGGCUUUCAACACUGUGGACCACAAUAUUUUAUAGGCUUCGUUGGAGCACUUUAUGGGCAUAAGGGGUCACUGUAAUUUUCGUUUGGAUCCUAUCGGACACACACAACUAUGUGUAUAAGCCUUUUUUUUUAUAUUGUGUGUGUGCUCUUCAGCUGUUAGAUCAAGUAGAAUGGAGAUUCUGUAUCUCCUUUAUCCCGGAAAAGUUUUUCUAUGUCACAGAGGAGUUUAUUUGGACUUCCUCUGUGAUUUAUUUGUAUUUUAAUCCAAGUUUUAUUGAGGAUCAGAGUAACAUCAGUGCUUUGAUGCUAUCAGUUGAACAUAAUGGAAUUUAUUGGAAAAAAAAGACAAUGAUAAAAUGAGGACUGUUCAACAGAAUGAGAAAAUUAAAUCAUUCUGUAUCUGAAAAAAAAAUGAUAAAUGGAUGUUACUUGAGAUUGUGUAGGAAGAAGAGGACAAGAAAGGACAGGACAAAGACAGGAGAAGAAGAAUGCAAGACGGAUCGUGAACCCGGCUAUACAAUUGGAAUGAGUUGGGACUGACAAAUUAUAGAAGUCUAAAGAACAAAACCCAAGUGGGGUAAUGGAUAUGCUUUUCAUGUAAACAUGAAUUGUACAUUGCAAUAAGUGAGUAGUCCGACACCCAGUGAGAGAACCCGAGGAGUGUGUGCCUACAGACACAUGCAUGGUCAAGAUAUCUUGAGCAAUACUUUUUAUACACUCAGUUUUACAUGUGUAUUUUUAUUUAUUUGUAUUUUUUAAGCAUGGUGGUGCAGCUGUAAAGCAUUGGUCUCACAGUUCUAAGGACCAGUGCUCAAAUCCCGGCCCUGCCUGUGUGGAGUUUACAUAUUCUCCCCAUGCCUGCGUGGGUUUUCUCCGGCCACUCCGAUUUCCUCCCAGAUCCCAAAAACAUGCAACAUUAAUUGGAAACUCUAAAUUGCACCUAGGUGUGAUUGUGAGUAUAACUGUUGCCUGUCUCCAUGUGGCCUAUGAUUGGCUGGCAACCAGUUCAGGGUGUACCCUGCUUCCUGGCCCUUGACAACUGGGAUAGACUUCAGCACUCCCGUGACCCUUGUGAGGAUAAGCGGGGACUGGGACAUCUUGGGCCUACCUCUAUUCCUUGCGCCUCUCCUCAGUCAUCUCAGUGUCCCACUUCUUCUUUGCUAACCUCUUUCCUUGUUUGACUUCCUGUAUUUUGGGGUUCCACCACCAAGUCUCCUACUCUGCGUUCGUACCAGAAGACACACCAAGUACUCUCCUGCCUGUCUCUUUGAUCAUCUUGGCUGUUGCUGUCCAUUCUUCCAGGAGCUCCUCCUGUCCAUCGAGAGCCUGUCUCACCUCUCUCCGAAAGGCUGCACAACAUUCUUCCUUUCACAGCUUCUACCUUAGUUUUCUUAAUCUUCCUUCACACCAACAGAGUCAUCUUUCACACAGCCAUCCUUUGCUGUCGAGCUACACUCUUCCUUACAGCACCAACUUCCAUCAGAUUAUAUCAUCUGAACAAAAUGUAAUCUACCUGCAUGCUUCUACCUCCGCUCUUGUAGGUCACCCUAUAUUCCUGCGCCUUCUGGAAAACAGUGUUCACUACUGCCAUUUCGACCCUUUUUGCAAAGUCCACCACCAUCUGUCCCUCAAAGUUCCUUUCCUGAAUGGCGUACUAACCCAUCGCUUCUUCAUCGCCCCAGUUUCCUUCACCAACAUGUCAUUACAAUCUCCAGCAAUCAAAACUCUCUCUCUGUCUAGGAUCCUCAGAACUACUUCAUCUAGUUCCUUCCAGAAUUUCUCUAUAUACAAUGUUUAUGAUGCACUGCUUCGCCCUCCUGAGAUGCCAGAUGAUGGGCCAGAAUUUCCUCGAACCCAUCCCGAAGUCAUUCUCCACAGCCUCACCAAACUCCUUCCUGUCUGAGUUACUGAAUCAAUGACCACGAGUGCUUCAUGCUGCCAUCCAGGAACCACCAGCUACCUUAGGAGUCCCAGAGGCCAAAAAGGCCCUAUAUGACUCCUUUAGCUUGGCUACAUCCCACACCUUUGAUGUCACCAAUGGGUCAUGAGAUUGUCCCCACAAGAGGCCUUACGGUCACAGCUCCGGUCAGUUCCUUUAGCAACCAAGAAAAUGGUCCAUACAGAUUAAAUGUCCCCCACUUUCCCCAGAACAUGAGCAAAGUUUUGUCGGAGGUAUGAGUUGAAACCUCUUCUGAAAGGGGAUUCUGCCAGAUGUUCAUAACAGACACACCACAAUAUGUUUGAGCCUGCGAGGUCAAACCGGCAUCUUUUCCCACAUCGUCCAACAAAAGAACACUGCUCGGGUUCUCAUUUGAAGGAGCCGUUUUUCCUAAUCACACCCUUUCAGGUCUAACUGUCAUUGCCCACAUGAGAAGUGAAGUCCCUGAGCAGAACGAUGGAGUCUCCAGUGGGAGCGCUCUCCAGCUCAACUAGGAUUCUAAAAAGCCUGUGUAAUCUGAACUGCUCUCGUUCACCAGAGUGAAUGAACAGGCGCCUAGGUAUGGGGCAAUAUGUAUAACGACACCUGUUUGGCGCCUCUCAAGAGAGUCCACCCCCUCUUGAGUGGUCUUGGAGCAGAGCCCAAGCAGUGGGUAGAAGCAAGCCUGACUAUAUCUCGUUGGAAGGGGGUGGCACGUUUCCCUUUCGGGGUGUGUCUGGCCGAGUCCCAUCAGACCCUCACCUUGAAGCCUUACCUCUAUGUCUGGUUACAGAGGGGGCCCUGGUGACCCACAUCUGAGCAAGGGAAUUUGCAAUCAAUUUAUAUUUGUUAUCAUAGGGGUCUUCUUGCAGUACUUUGUAUGGUCCCUCAUCCAGGACCAGCUUACCUGGGCGACCCCACCGAGGGUAUGAAGCCCCAGACAACUGAGUUCCUCAGAUCACUGGGAUACACAAAGCCCUCCACAACAAUAAGGUGAAUUCUUCCUGGAGAUGCAGGUUUUAUUGUUUGUUUAUUGUAACUGGUAACUAACCACUUCCGGGUGGUGUCCACCUUUUGCCUGAAGUUAACUGGGGUAGGCUUCAACACUUUUGUGACUCUUGUGAGGAUAAACGGCUUGGAAAAUGAAAAUGGGAAUGGUA
Long non-coding RNA from Syngnathoides biaculeatus (alligator pipefish), 5312 nucleotides. RefSeq lists it as uncharacterized. Lineage: Eukaryota; Metazoa; Chordata; Actinopteri; Syngnathiformes; Syngnathidae. The record is from RefSeq and is a predicted model, not a curated record. The transcript is spliced from 3 exons.